CCUACGGGGGGCAGCAGUGAGGAAUAUUGGUCAAUGGGCGCAGGCCUGAACCAGCCAAGUAGCGUGAAGGAUGACUGCCCUAUGGGUUGUAAACUUCUUUUAUAAAGGAAUAAAGUCGGGUAUGUAUACCCGUUUGCAUGUACUUUAUGAAUAAGGAUCGGCUAACUCCGUGCCAGCAGCCGCGGUAAUACGGAGGAUCCGAGCGUUAUCCGGAUUUAUUGGGUUUAAAGGGAGCGUAGGCGGAUUGUUAAGUCAGUUGUGAAAGUUUGCGGCUCAACCGUAAAAUUGCAGUUGAUACUGGUUUCCUUGAGUGCAGUUGAGGCAGGCGGAAUUCGUGGUGUAGCGGUGAAAUGCUUAGAUAUCACGAAGAACUCCGAUUGCGAAGGCAGCACACUAAUCCGUAACUGACGUUCAUGCUCGAAAG
Molecule: ribosomal RNA, 424 nt
Filed under: uncultured Blautia sp.
Lineage: Bacteria; Bacillati; Bacillota; Clostridia; Lachnospirales; Lachnospiraceae
Description: bacterial SSU rRNA
Rfam family: Bacterial small subunit ribosomal RNA
Source: RNAcentral